RNAcentral lists this unclassified non-coding RNA (373 nucleotides) under uncultured fungus. RNAcentral's name for it is "sequence contains ITS1". The stretch from base 1 to 106 matches the Rfam family "5.8S ribosomal RNA", at positions 49 to 154 of the family's 154-position model. Lineage: Eukaryota; Fungi. The record is from RNAcentral.
UGAAAUGCGAAAAGUAAUGCGAUUUGCAUGAAUCUGUGAGUCAUCAAGUCUUUGAACGCACCUUGCACCGUAUGAGCAAUCGUACGGUAUACCUGUUUGAGAAUCGUAAAACUCUCUUUCUGCUACCCUUUGGGGUUUGUGGAAGAUUUGUUGGUUGUGCACUCUGGUGUACUCUGAUUAAAAGGAUCAAGUCUGGAUUUGGCUGGUGGCCAAGGACACUGUGUGCUAGAGACGUCGCUUCGGCUGACUGUCUUCUCACAGUGCGUCCUGGGCUAUUCAAAGCUGGUCUCAUCCUAGACUUUUUCAGUGUGGACUUGUCCAUACAACCCUUUUUUUUGAUCUCAAAUCAGGUAAGGCUACCCGCUGAACUUAA